AGAGUUUGAUCCUGGCUCAGGACGAACGCUGGCGGCAUGCCUAAUACAUGCAAGUCGAACGCCAAAUCUUCCUGCUUGCAGGAAGAGGCGGAGUGGCGAACGGGUGAGUAACACGUGAGGAACUUGCCCAUAAGAGGGGGAUAACACCCGGAAACGGGUGCUAAUACCGCAUAGGUUUUCCCAGUGCAUGCUGGGAAAAUAAAAGGUGGCUCUGCUACCGCUUAUGGAUAGCCUCGCGGCGCAUUAGCUAGUUGGUAGGGUAAAGGCCUACCAAGGCCAUGAUGCGUAGCCGACUUGAGAGGGUGAUCGGCCACACUGGAACUGAGACACGGUCCAGACUCCUACGGGAGGCAGCAGUAGGGAAUCUUCCACAAUGGGUGCAAGCCUGAUGGAGCAAUGCCGCGUGAGUGAAGAAGGACUUCGGUUCGUAAAGCUCUGUUGUUGGGGAAGAACACGGAUAGGAGUCACUGCCUAUCCCUUGACGGUACCCAACCAGAAAGUCACGGCUAACUACGUGCCAGCAGCCGCGGUAAUACGUAGGUGACAAGCGUUGUCCGGAUUUAUUGGGCGUAAAGCGAGCGCAGGCGGUCCGGUAAGUCUGAUGUGAAAGCCCACGGCUCAACCGUGGAACGGCAUUGGAAACUGGCGGACUUGAAUGUAGCAGAGGAAAGUGGAAUUCCAUGUGUAGCGGUGGAAUGCGUAGAUAUAUGGAGGAACACCAGUGGCGAAAGCGACUUUCUGGGCUAUGAUUGACGCUGAGGCUCGAAAGCGUGGGGAGCGAACAGGAUUAGAUACCCUGGUAGUC
This 805-nucleotide ribosomal RNA is filed under the name uncultured Alloiococcus sp. RNAcentral describes it as "bacterial SSU rRNA". It matches the Rfam family "Bacterial small subunit ribosomal RNA", at positions 8 to 795 of the family's 1533-position model. The record is from RNAcentral. Lineage: Bacteria; Bacillati; Bacillota; Bacilli; Lactobacillales; Carnobacteriaceae.